GUAGCAUAGUCAGUAGUCUUUUAAUUGGAGGCUUGAAUGAAUGGUUGGACGAGGGAUAAACUGUCUCCUUAGCGGCGUUUGAAUUUAACUUUUGAGUGAAAAGGCUCAAAUUGUUUAGGGGGACGAUAAGACCCUAUAAAACUUAAUAUAAUUUAGGCUUAACUUGCGAUGUGGGUGAAAAGUAGUUUUGUCUGGUUUAUAUUUCGUUGGGGAGAUGAAGAUAUAAUGAGUAACUGUCUAUAAAAUUUUAUAGCAUUGACUAGAAUUUGAUCCUUCCUUGGGGAUUAGGAGAAUAAGUUACUUUAGGGAUAACAGCGUGAUUUUCUUUGAGAGUUCUUAUCGACAAGAGUAGUUGCGACCUCGAUGUUGAAUUAAAAUUUCAGCUAGGUGUAGCCGUUUAGCUGGUA
RNAcentral lists this ribosomal RNA (407 nucleotides) under Macrobrachium rosenbergii (giant freshwater prawn). RNAcentral describes it as "partial 16S ribosomal RNA". It matches the Rfam family "Bacterial large subunit ribosomal RNA", at positions 1956 to 2573 of the family's 2925-position model. Lineage: Eukaryota; Metazoa; Arthropoda; Malacostraca; Decapoda; Palaemonidae. The record is from RNAcentral.